GUAGCUCAGUGGUAGAGUGUGUGCUUAGCAUGCACGAGGUCCUGGGUUCAAUCCCCAUC
This 59-nucleotide transfer RNA is filed under the name Camelus bactrianus (Bactrian camel). It matches the Rfam family "tRNA", at positions 7 to 64 of the family's 71-position model. From Rfam's summary of the family: Transfer RNA (tRNA) molecules are approximately 80 nucleotides in length. The record is from Rfam by way of RNAcentral. Lineage: Eukaryota; Metazoa; Chordata; Mammalia; Artiodactyla; Camelidae. RNAcentral also lists the same sequence under 3 other names.